This 102-nucleotide small RNA is filed under the name Mycobacterium tuberculosis H37Rv. RNAcentral's name for it is "Putative small regulatory RNA". The stretch from base 1 to 58 matches the Rfam family "F6 TB sRNA". The record is from RNAcentral. RNAcentral also lists the same sequence under 1 other name. Lineage: Bacteria; Bacillati; Actinomycetota; Actinomycetes; Mycobacteriales; Mycobacteriaceae.
CGGAUAGCCCCGUGUUGUUGUCUGACCCCCGACCCCGACGGCAAUGCGGGGCAAUCCCCUGGAAAGGGCCGCCGCUGGUGGGAGGGGACCCAGCGGCGGUCU